AUUGAACGCUGGCGGCAUGCCUUACACAUGCAAGUCGAACGGUAGAGCAGCAAUGCUUGAGAGUGGCGAACGGGUGAGUAAUAUAUCGNGAACGUGCCCAGUCGUGGGGGAUAACGUAGAGAUAUUUACGCUAAUACCGCAUACGAUCUAAGGAUGAAAGCGGGGGACUCGCAAGAGCCUCGCGCGAUUGGAGCGGCUGAUAUCAGAUUAGGUUGUUGGUGAGGUAAAAGCUCACCAAGCCGACGAUCUGUAGCUGGUUUGAGAGAACGACCAGCCACACUGGGACUGAGACACGGNCCAGACUC
RNAcentral lists this ribosomal RNA (305 nucleotides) under uncultured bacterium T2789c. RNAcentral's name for it is "bacterial SSU rRNA". It matches the Rfam family "Bacterial small subunit ribosomal RNA", at positions 30 to 338 of the family's 1533-position model. The record is from RNAcentral.